Molecule: long non-coding RNA, 1349 nt
Filed under: Lactuca sativa (garden lettuce)
Lineage: Eukaryota; Viridiplantae; Streptophyta; Magnoliopsida; Asterales; Asteraceae
Description: long non-coding RNA (LSAT_LNC009809)
Source: RNAcentral
CUAGAAGUUAUACUUUUUCAUUUUGAUUGCAAUAUACAUAAGUUCAAGUGUCAUUCAAAAUACUACACAUAAAGACUUGGUUCUAUUUAAAACCUCUUAAAAUAUUAAAAUUACAACUGUAAUAAUAAAAUAAAAAACUUGUUUCUAAGACAUUCAGAUACUACAAAUCUUUUGAUUCUAAGACCUUUAAAAAACCUGUAAAAAUUCAGAUGGAAUACUAUAUCAAAAAGAUAAUGACUUAUAUUAUCAUAUACGAAUCAAAAAAAAAGAAAAAAUAAAAAUUUCUGUACCUUACGGUUUUUCGUAAACUCAAGACGAAUUGGAGCUUUUGGAAUAUGUUUUGCUUCUGAUUUUCAAAAACUUAGAAUGUUAGAUCUAAUAGGAAAUUACGGCUUCUAAUUUAGUGAAAUGCAUCUGAUUCAAGUGAAGAAAGAAGUAAGACAAAAGAAACUCAAAGCUUCUGAUUUUCGGAAUCGAAACCACAAGAAAGUCAGAGUAUAUUUACAGUUCAAUGUCUUUGAUAUAAGUGAUAAUACCUCUGAUUUUGGAGAAGAAAGAAGUAAGAACAAAAACAUCAUAACCCAAAUAUGAUUUUAAACAAAAAAAUAGAAUCGUUACUUACUUCUGUCGAUGAUUGUAGACCCUUCGAUAGUAGGCACGCGUUCAAGAAUCGAAGCGUGUUUUCCCCUCGAUUUUUUGAUUUCCUGCUUGUGUGCGUCGGCCUCUUCUUCUAGUUCCAGCAAUAUGUAAGCAGUAAAGUUAGCAUAACACUAACAAAGGGAAAAAAUUGGGCCCUUAUGUCUUGGUGGGCCCUGUUCUUAAGCACCGGUUGAACUCCAAUAGGGCCGGCCCUGGUGAGAUACACUGGCAUCGUUGGGUGUCGUACUUUUGUUGUUUCGCUAGUGAUUUUGAACUGGUCCAACAUUUUCUCUUAUUUGUGUCAUAUUGCGGUGUUACACUCUAUAUGCUUAUAAUUCUUUAUUUCUGUAUUUCCUUAUUGGAGUUUGACUAUUUGACUCUUCUUGGUUAGACUAUAACCAACAAUUGAAGUCCAUCUUUAUUGUGAACUCAAAUCUACUACUUUCCAAAAUGCAAACAUUGCAUAGACGGCUUCUUUUUAUAGCUACAAAAGUUUUCUGCAUAGAUGCAUGCAACUAUAACCAUGUACCUCUGUUUUCUUAAUCCUCGUUUCAGAACUUCUUUUUAUUUUACUAUGGGCAUAAUUAUAUAUGCUUUAAUUUUGUGGUCCUUGCACUUUAUUAAUUAUACAACCGCUAAUAACCUCCUUGCAAGAUUCUCUUCUUUUUAAUUCCUUGUGUAGAAAGCAAAGGAGGCAAAGAGUAUUUAAG